UAUUCAGAGAGUCACCUCCACAGCAGCCCUCUCCCAACACCUUCAGCAGCAGGUUUGGACUCAACAGGAGAGGGGAGGCAUUGAGCUGGACACCCUCAACUCACAGGCUCAAUCAGGUGUUAACACUGUUUUGAAACAGGAAGAUGAUGUUAGAUGUUUUGAAACAGAAAGAUGUCAGAUGCUUCUUAGUUGAGUAGAUGUAAUUUUCGUGGUGACUAGAUAUGGACCACAACAUCUUGGUUUUGUUUCAGCCAGAAAUGAUGAGGAGUUAGUGGUAGGCUGGCAGGAGAAGCUGUUCAGUCAGUGUCCUUAUAACAAAUAAUAAUUGACUGUUUAGGAUAGUUUGAUGUUGCAUAGUAAGGUGUGUGUGUGUGUGUGCACAAUAUGAAGUGGGUUUGUUCCAGAGUGAGUCAGUAUGCCAGACUCCGCUGGAGAGACAAUACCACACAGAGAUCAUGACUCAGGAGCGGACCAGGGGCAGAUGGAACUGCAGGAUUUUCACCUACACCGAUUCUGACUGCUACACCAAUUGGGAAGGGGUGGUUUUCAACAGAAUCUCCAUUUCUGUAACGGUUCUGUAACCAAAGACGCUGGGAGACAGGAAGCAAGUAUAGGGGGAGGAUUUAUUAAUAAAUAGACAUGAAACUAGAGACGAACAGAGUCUGGACAAGAGAAACAAAACAACAUCGAUGCAGACAUGGGAAUGAAACUGAGGAAGUGACAGGUAUAGGGGAGGUAAUCAAUGAUGUGAUGGAGUCCAGGUGAGUCCGAUGAAGCGCUGGUGCGCGUAAAAAUGGUGACAGGUGUGCGUAAUGAUGAGCAGCCUGGCGACCUCGAGCGCCAGAGAGAGGGAGCUGGAGCAGACGUGACAAUUUCAUUAUUCAAAACAAAGCAUUUACCUAUUUUCUGUCCAAAAGAAACGUUAGUGUUUUAAAGCUGUUUUUGAUGUACUCACUACAGCAUUCCCAGAGUAUGGUGACGCAGGUCAAGUCCAAUCCUACCUUACUGGCACAUAGAAUGGCCAAUGUCAGACACAGACGACAGGACAGACGCCCAGUGUAGGUCCCUGUUACUCACCAAAGUGAAUUAUUAUUAAAGUGAAUGUAAUUGAAGCAGCAUUGAUGCGUCGUGCUGCUUUGAAGACAAACAGUGUACCGGUAUGUUCACAUUACACCAUACCCUUGUAUGCAAAAUGUGUUUGUGGUAUUCUGUUGGUCUGCAGUGACCGCACUAUCCCCAAGUCCAGGCUGAUAACCUGGGACCCCUCGGAGGACUUUGUGAAGACCAGCCACAUGGUCAACACACCUGUACAGACCAUGCACAUCAUGGGGAACCUGGGACCAGCGGGCAAACUUGGCUAAAAGGAGAAGGAAUGCUUGUCUGCACGAUAAGAGCAGAUGGAAAUGGAGUGGUUACCAUCAAACCAGACUUCAACAAAGGCAAUUAGCCCUACAGGCCAGUGACCCGCACCUGCUGAAGUCAAAAUGUUUUACCCCUAGCUCAAGUUGAGACGGAGGGGGAGAAGAGGGAGGUGUGGCGUCAGACCAGAGGAGACGGAACAGCAACAGUGCAUAUAUAGACCGUUAUGUACGUCAUAAAGACUACCUCAACAGCUUGGUUGGCCAGGACUGAAAUGGUAUGCAUGUAGUUUGUGACAGAUCUUUAACACAAGUUGUUUCGUCAGCAAAGGUCAUCUCAAAUCCAAUUUUAUUUGUUACAUGCGCUGAAUACAACCUUACAGUGAAAUGCUUAUUUACAAGCCCUUAACCAACAAUGCAGUUUAAGAAAAAUAAGUGUUAAGUAAAAAAUAGAUAAUUUAAAUAAAAGUAACAAAUAAUUAGAGAGCAGCAUUAAACUAACAAUUGCGAGGCUAUAUACAGGGUGUACCGCUACAGAGUCAAUGUCGGGGGCACCAGUUAGUCGAGGUAAUAGAGGUAAUAUGUACAUGUAGGUAGAGGUAAAGUGACUAUGCAGAGAGUAGCAGCAGCUUAUAACAGUGGGCGGGUGCAAAAAGUCUGGGUAGCCAUUUGAUUAGCUGUUCAGGAGUCUUAUGGCUUGGGGGUAGAAGCUGUUAAGAAGUCUUUUGGACCUAGACUUGGCGUUCCGGUACCGCUUGCCAUAUGGUAGCAGAGAGAACAUUUUAUGACUAGGGUGGCUGGAGUCUUUGAUAGUUUUUUGGGCCUUCUUCUGACACCGCCUGGUAUAGAGGUCCAGGAUGGCAGGAAGCUUGGCUCCAGUGAUGUACUGGGCCGUACGCACUACCCUCUGUAGUGCCUUGCGGUCAAAGUCCGACCUGUUGCCAUACCAGGCAGUGAUUCAACCAGUCAGGAUGCGCUCGAUGGUGCAGCUAUAGAAUUUUGAGGAUCUGAGGACCCAUGACAAAUCUUUUCAGUCUCUUGUGGGGGAAUAGGCUUUGUUGUGCCCUCUUCACGACUAUUGGUGUGUUUGGACCAAGAUAGUUUGGUGAUGUGGACACCAGGGAACUUGAAGCUCUCAACCUGCUCCACAACAGCCCCGUCGAUGAGAAUAGGGGCGUGGUUAGUCCUCCUUUUCCUGUAGUCCACAAUCAUCUCCUUUGUCUUGAUCACAUUGAGGAAGAGGUUGUUGUCCUUGCACCACAUUGUCAUGUCUCUGACCUCCUUAUAGUCUUUCUCGUCGUUGUCGGUGAUCAGGCCUACCACUGUUGUCACCGGCAAACUUAAUGAUGGUGUUGGAGUCGUGCCUGGCCGUGCAGUCAUGACUGAACAGGGAGUACAGGAGGGGACUGAGCAUGCACCCUCGAGGUGCCCCCGUGUUGAGGAUCAGCGUGGCGGAUGUGUUGUUACCUACCCUUACCACCUGGGAGCGGCCCGUCAGGAAGUCCAGGAUCCAGUUGUACAGGGAGGGGUUUAGUCCCAGGGUCCUUAGCUUAGUGAUGAGCUUUGAGGUGUUGGUGUUAUCACCACUGGUGUUGAUAUCGUACUGGUGAGCAGAUAACAAUAACGCCCAUCGCUGCACGUGGCUGGUUGCAAGCGACGGAAUGCCGGUGUGGGGACCAACGAUGGAGGUGAGGCGUCAGCAGUGUGAA
Molecule: long non-coding RNA, 3067 nt
Organism: Oncorhynchus nerka (sockeye salmon)
Lineage: Eukaryota; Metazoa; Chordata; Actinopteri; Salmoniformes; Salmonidae
Exons: 4
Source: RefSeq, a predicted model, not a curated record